GAUGAACGCUGGCGGCGUGCCUAAUACAUGCAAGUCGAGCGAACAGACGAGGAGCUUGCUCCUCUGACGUUAGCGGCGGACGGGUGAGUAACACGUGGAUAACCUACCUAUAAGACUGGGAUAACUUCGGGAAACCGGAGCUAAUACCGGAUAAUAUAUUGAACCGCAUGGUUCAAUAGUGAAAGACGGUUUUGCUGUCACUUAUAGAUGGAUCCGCGCCGGAUUAGCUAGUUGGUAAGGUAACGGCUUACCAAGGCAACGAUGCGUAGCCGACCUGAGAGGAUGAUCGGCCACACUGGAACUGAGACACGGUCCAGACUCCUACGGGAGGCAGCAGUAGGGAAUCUUCCGCAAUGGGCGAAAGCCUGACGGAGCAACGCCGCGUGAGUGAUGAAGGUCUUCGGAUCGUAAAGCUCUGUUAUUAGGGAAGAACAAAUGUGUAAGUAACUAUGCACGUCUUGACGGUACCUAAUCAGAAAGCCACGGCUAACUACGUG
This 497-nucleotide ribosomal RNA is filed under the name uncultured bacterium. Its description in RNAcentral is "partial 16S ribosomal RNA". It matches the Rfam family "Bacterial small subunit ribosomal RNA", at positions 28 to 507 of the family's 1533-position model. The record is from RNAcentral.